Long non-coding RNA from Sphaerodactylus townsendi, 523 nucleotides. RefSeq lists it as uncharacterized. The record is from RefSeq and is a predicted model, not a curated record. NCBI's taxonomy places the organism in Eukaryota, Metazoa, Chordata, Lepidosauria, Squamata, Sphaerodactylidae. The transcript has 2 exons.
UUGAGCGCUGGGACAAUCUGAUAUCCCUGAAACAGAAGUACUUCCUUCAGGAAAGCCAAAUUCUUUUUGUUCAGAUCCCAUUUCUAUUGAGCUAGUCAAGAGCUGAAGUCUUUAAAGGAAAGUUCUGUUACCUGAAGGACCUGCAAACUAAUCUAUGUGGCCACCAUUUGGCAGGAGCGAUGAAACUCUUUGGAUGAUGGAACUGUCUCCAGGCACACUUGAGAAGCCCAGUCAAAAUGGAGGAGCCGAGCAACAGAGGACCCUCACUGGGGUACCCUUCCUCUGGUGGUGGUGAUGGUGGUGAAGACGGCAUCUUGGUUGUACUGAACUGCUUUGUGAUGAUGUCACUAUUGAACAAAUCUGAGCAUGGCCUCAUCUUCAGAUGGAGAGAAAUGGAAGAGAAGACACACAUGUUGUUUGUGCUGUGUGUGCUCAUCCCACAAUUGCUACUAAUGUGGGAGAAAGGCUCUGGUUUUUUCCACACAAAUCCCCUAAAACAUUUAUAAAAUGUUUCUUAAAUGUU